Molecule: non-coding RNA, 46 nt
Filed under: Trichobilharzia regenti
Lineage: Eukaryota; Metazoa; Platyhelminthes; Trematoda; Strigeidida; Schistosomatidae
Source: RNAcentral
CUAUUGAUGAAGAGUCCCAAACUAGGACGAAACAGCUGUCCAGUAC